CCUGAUGCAGCAACGCCGCGUGAGGGACGACGGCCUAAGGGUUGUAAACCUCUUUUAGCAGGGAAGAAGCGAAAGUGACGGUACCUGCAGAAAAAGCGCCGGCUAACUACGUGCCAGCAGCCGCGGUAAUACGUAGGGCGCAAGCGUUAUCCGGAAUUAUUGGGCGUAAAGAGCUCGUAGGCGGUUUGUCGCGUCUGCUGUGAAAUCCCGAGGCUCAACCUCGGGUCUGCAGUGGGUACGGGCAGACUAGAGUGCGGUAGGGGAGAUUGGAAUUCCUGGUGUAGCGGUGGAAUGCGCAGAUAUCAGGAGGAACACCGAUGGCGAAGGCAGAUCUCUGGGCCGUAACUGACGCUGAGGAGCGAAAGGGUGGGGAGCAAACAGGCUUAGAUACCCUGGUAGUCCACCCCGUAAACGUUGGGAACUAGUUGUGGGGUCCAUUCCACGGAUUCCGUGACGCAGCUAACGCAUUAAGUUCCCCGCCUGGGGAGUACGGCCGCAAGGCUAAAACUCAAAGGAAUUGACGGGGACCCGCACAAGCGGCGGAGCAUGCGGAUUAAUUCGAUGCAACGCGAAGAACCUUACCAAGGCUUGACAUACACGAGAACGCCGCAGAAAUGUGGAACUCUUUGGA
This 631-nucleotide ribosomal RNA is filed under the name Microbacterium sp. So3Pt_84. RNAcentral describes it as "bacterial SSU rRNA". It matches the Rfam family "Bacterial small subunit ribosomal RNA", at positions 382 to 1022 of the family's 1533-position model. The record is from RNAcentral. Lineage: Bacteria; Bacillati; Actinomycetota; Actinomycetes; Micrococcales; Microbacteriaceae.